Molecule: long non-coding RNA, 28016 nt
Filed under: Brassica napus (rape)
Lineage: Eukaryota; Viridiplantae; Streptophyta; Magnoliopsida; Brassicales; Brassicaceae
Description: long non-coding RNA (BNAP_LNC017926)
Source: RNAcentral
CACCAACUACUAAUUAAUCAGACAUGAAGAUCAUGCCGUUGAUGUCCGUCGCCUUCUUCAUACUCUUGAUAUCAUUUCUGGAUCCGAUCAAAGCUCAAGGUAUCGUUGGCUGCGACACUCAACUUGAUAAAUGCAUAACCGCGAUGAAUAAAAAUGAAUGGAGUCUCGUGCAAAAAGACUGUUGUCCCAGACUGAGAAAGACAGGCCCUCAACAAUGUAUGUGUUUGUUAUUUAAGUACCCUUCGCUUAAAGCACCUGCUAUGAGGCUUAUCAAAUAUUGUCAAGCUCCAACUCCCAAGUGCUAAGAGAUUAAUAUACAAUACAUUAACAACAUUGUUUCGAUCGAGCUCGUGGACUAGUUGUGUUGCCAUGUUAUAAUCGUAUUUAAACAUGUUUUUAAUAUAUUCAAGGUUUCUUUUGUUAUAUCGUAUGUCAUGACAUCCCUAGUUGCAGCUUUUCCCGUCUACAAAACGAUUUGUUCAUCUAUUUUUUGGCAUGUGAGGACUCUUCUUUUGCCAAAUAUGUGAGGACUCCACCAUCAUCAGCCUUUGGUUUGUAAAUGAUUUUUUUUUUUAUUUGCCAGUAUUCGGAACAUCACAACUUGGCAUCGGAUAUGAAAUAUGUGGGACCAUAUUUCUAGAUUAAUUUUAAUAAAAGACUGAUAAUUUGGGUUUCAUGUAACCUAUGUAUAAUAGUUUAUUAAAAUAUUUGGAGACCAAACGAAUGUUUCAUCCAGCUAUUCAUAAUCAACCCAUAACUUCUUAUGACACACGAGCAUAUAUAUAUAACAACUUCGUUACACAUGGUCCAAAUACCAAGAGAAGGAUUAGAUUUACAAAUGUAAGAGAUAGCGAAACUCGUAUUCGUGAGGCCUUACUUCUAUUAAUUUGUUCAAAGACGACUCACUUUGCUUCUUCAGCCAUUCCAUUGCUGUUUCCUUGAGCUGCAAGCAACGUUGUCCUGGUGGUAGCUGCCUGCAUAUCCACUCAACUAAUGUCCCUUCAUCAUCUGCGAAAUCACGAAGACGCUUGUGCAAGAAUCUCGGAAUCACAAUCUUUUUCCUCCCCGAGAUACCUAUGGAGGCUUCUAAGUACUCGGUUCUUGCUUUGAUUAGUUCGUUCACCACAUCUUCUGCUGUAUAGACUCUCAACUAUAUCAUGCAUACACAGAUUCUUUGUCACUUUAAUAACUCUGAAGAAACACUUAUCUAACCGCACGCAUGGAGAAAAAGAGUGAACUUACUGCAGGCGAAGACCAAUCUCCACGACAAAGCACGAACAUUAGGUUCGGUUCAACGCAUCUGAAUCCGUACCGUUUGUGUACAUCAGUACUUAGAGCUUCCAAGGGUUUGCAUGGACUAUGCAAGAUGGAUCCUUCAAUAUCUAGGGCAGAUAGUUGCGUGCCUCCCACGUCAAUAGUUGCCUACAACACAAGUCAAUGUGAUUUAACUAUGAGAAGUUUAACAAGAUGACUCUUCUUGUUAUGUAUUAAUUAAGUACCAUUUUGAGAAUGGUCAGUAGUUUCUCCUUUGAUGAAGGUAGUCCAUGUUCCAAAAAUCCCUGCAAAAAAAAAAUUCAUGUUUUCAGAACUUGGUUUCAACUAAAGAUGUAUGUCUGAGUUCUUGGAGCUUUGUUACAUUCAUGACGCAUGCGUUGUAGGUAUUGAUCCAGAAUGUCAUCUUUUUCUUGUGAUUCAAGAAACUCAGAUCCACUUUGCUCAACUUCUCCUUCAAAACCCUACACAUGUGUGUGUUUUAAAUGAAAUCUUCAACAAGCAAUGGAUAUUUCACGAUCAAAGGGUGUAGUACUAUUUGUAGUAGCGGCCCUUCUAUAUCGUAGUAACAAUCGAAAUAUAGUCUCAACAGAUAAUUAAGAAGGAAGAUGACACUGAAGUACCUUAGAUUGACAAGAGAAGUUGAGCAAUCAGAUAGACGGCUAACAUCAAUGCAAGUUCGAGUGAUGUGGAUGAAGUUCUUGUACUCUCCAAUGUCUCUGAUACAAGUCCCCAUCACAACUCCAUAAGGAUCAAGAUUUGAUGCGUUCUGCCCAUACACUGAUUUGCGUUUGAAAGAAGCGUUCUUCAGGUGUGAGAGGCUCAGCUUUGAAACCGUUCUUGACCCUUCUCUCUCUCGCGAUGACUUGUUGAGUUCCAAAUAGAUUCCCAUCAAGCACUUCAACAGAUCUUCUGAUACUCCAUUUGGUGUCGUCUCUUGCCCUUUAUUGCUAUCUUGCAUUCUUGAAAAAGUCGAAGAACGGUGUCUUGGUGAGAAGGGAUUGCUCAUUUGAACGUUCUUGAUAUCUUGCAUUCUUGAAAAAGUCGAAGAACUGUGUCUUGGUGAGAAGGGAUUGCUCAUUUGGAUAUCCUUGAAACCAUGAGGAUCUUCACAACUCUGUAACUUGGAUCUUUGUUUUAGAUCCUUAGAUCUCAUCUUUGGAAUGUCACUGUCAGGUUCCCAAGGAAGUUGAUUCUGCCUUUGUAGAAGUUUCUUAGGAGUAGUCAUCAUCAUCAUCCUCUCUUCUCUUUCAUCAUAUUUGGCUUCAAGUUCUUGAUUCACUUUCCUCUCACUAUACGCAUCAUGUUUCAGGUCUUGGAUUUGUUUCUCGAGGCAGGUUAUCUCUGCCUCAACCAUAGUAAGCUCCUCUAUUAUAUCUUGAACCUAAUUAAACAACCUCAAAAUCAUGUUUCAUUUCUUUGUUCAAACAUUCAAAACGCAGAGUUUUAUCUAUAAGUAGACUUGCCUCAGGAGGAAGAAGCAGUAAAGAGAGACGAGGCUGAGACAUGACUGGUCCAAGAAGUAUACCACGUAAAGCCUUGUUGAGUGCUUGCUCCUCCUCUAGCUCCCCUUGCAUUUUCAUCACAUCUCUUUGAAGACGAAGUUUUUGUUUCUUCUUUAGCAACCCAUCACUCUUCUCUUCUUCGCUCUUUAUAGAUGAGUUUUGACUUACUUGGUUUUGCAAUUGCUGGCGGUUUAGACGGCGAUGAUGAUCAAGAAGAUCCGCUACACUUUGUUGACCUUCAAGUAAGUCUUCAAGAUUCAUUUUGUGGUUUCUAUGGAGUCUUGAGAAAAUAUGGUAAGUAACUAACCAUGUGUUUAGUGAAGCUAUAUAAAUGAGAUCAAUGUGGGAAUAUUAAUUAGAUCAUAAAUAACAGUCGUGCCAGCAAUUAAGUCAUAUGAUGUUUCAUGCAUUGGUUUGGUAUUGUUUUUAGGAUUAGGAGAAAGUCAUCAUGAUCGUGAAAGCCAUUAACACAAAAAGAGGAUUGAUUCAGGUUACAAAGGGAAGAUUUUAAUUUAAAAUAAAAAACGAAACCACAACAUGGCUUUACUAUAUUUUGUUUGACUCUAUAAAAGUUUUGAUUGGUGACAUGAGUUAUAUUUUAUUUGAGUCAUGAGUUAUACUGAUAACUCAAAAAUUAUUGCCUCUUUUGUGAGGCUUUACUGUAAUAUCAUGGACCCGCUCAAUCUCAUCACUGUAAUCUUUCUAUUAUACAAUCUUGAAACCACUAGGACCAAAAUCUUGUCACCCAUUUUAAACCCGUAUCUUUUGAGUCGAAUCCUUCGAAUGGUAUUGGAUUUUGUAUAGGUAUGAUAUUUGUCCAGGACAUCAGAGACGUGCGGCUUCACAAACUUGAGACUAACUUGGGAUCAUUCCAAGGUACAUCUGCAGUAAAGGUAUUUGCUUCUUCUUGACAUUACCUUCAUAACAUCUCAAGAGUCAAGAGUGUGAUUAUACAAACAGCCAUAUUAAAAAUUAAAAUGCAAGAUCCCUAAUGUAUCGGCAAUGGAAGUAAACCUAGUCCGCCCGUUUGUGAGAAGAGCCUUUAAAGCGUUUUAUAAGCAUUACAAGCCGGAGGCUAAUGCAUACAGAGACAGUAGAAGUAGUAGACAACCUCGUGAAGCUAAUAAUGAACCAAGGGUAAAGCCAUUCACAUUGCCCACGCAUUUUCUUGUCUUUUCGUCUUAAAAGAAAUCUAACACAAACCUCAACUGUGUUUUACAGAGACCUCUAAGGUAACAGUAAGGAGUUUAGAUGUCCUUGCCUAAGUGAGAAGAAGUCAGGUAUCUUCUGUGCCAAUAUUUAUAGAGCUCCCUGAGAACUAAGAACACCCAGAGCAUCUAUCUUUGUGUCUUAAUAUAUGCCUUGAUUCUCCUAUUGUGAAUUGAAGAUGAAUUCCCAUAAUGUUGCAUUUCAAAUGUGGACUAAACCAAUGUCAGAACAAUAUUGAGCAGCACCAUAUUUAUUUUCAAAACCUAUCAACCCUAGGGCGAAGUAAUAAUUUAAUUAUGAAAAGUAUAUAUCAAAAUUGAACUACUGAUGAACUUGAAUCAGUCAUAGGGGACAUUUAUGAUGGUUCUGUCUUCUGAAGGACUAAGUUUUAUACAUUCUUAAUACUAGUUAUAUGUUUACCCGAAACGAUAAUUUUCUCUAAUGAGAAAAACUGAUGCCUUAAUAGUCUGCCUUUUUCAAAAGGAGAAAUACAAAUUGGAUCAAAUUACUAGAAGAUGUGACAAAUUAGAUCCUGGUAGUUGAUUUCUAUCAAGACUGAUUCAAGAAGCAAAGGAUGUAGAUUAUCGUAAUGCUUUGAAAUUGAGUCUGCAUCAAUCAAAGAGCGAGGAAUGUUACUGUUACACCCGUCACCUCCAAUCCGGAGAACAGCGGGGCACCAACAAUAUCUCGUAUAAUAAAAGCCCAUAUACCCAAUUACACUCACCCAAAGCCCAAAUAAAAAUCUGAAUAAAAAGUUCAGUAGCACCAAUCCGUCCAAAUAUCAUAUACUCGUCAGUCUCACCUGAAAUGGGGAAGAGAGAGGGGUGAGUAACGGGGAAGUCACUCAGUGAGGUAUGGGAUACUAAACCCGAAGUCCAUGGACCCGGACAUAGCACUCCGAAUAAAUAUAAUUUAAUCCUAACACGUUGCAAAUACGGUAUCUAAAAUACCCAAAGAUCACACAACAGUGCACACUCGCUGCCCACUGACAGGCCAAAACACCACCGAAUAUGUGCUCGGUAACACACGCCCGUAGACGAUUUAUCGACCUCGAAGCCUUGGCACAGCAGGUCGACUAAGCUGUGCCGCAGCAUACACCACACCCAAUGUACUGGUCUCCGGCCGACACACAGAAUUACGUCUCCAUGGUCGGCUAACACCCAAAUCACCUCAAUAUACUAUAUACAUAUAUAUUAUCAAUUAUAAAUGAACAAGCACUGUUGAACCAUCUAACACCCUAGUUCCGGUUUAAGCAAAGAGCCUAAAACUAAAUAAGCAAUGAUAGACUUGAUUUCACACAGACGGAACACAUUAGAAACAAAUUAUACUUAUUCGAGGUCCUAAGCCGUGUAAGAGAAGUUCGGGAAAAGACCCUCACCUUGGGAACGGAUACACCUCGUCCAAUAGAACUCGGUUUAGAGUUUCACGACUUGAAAAUAUUACUUCAUGUUAUUGAUGGUCUUCAAUGAAACGUGUUCCAUGACUCUUCUUACACCUUCUUUGCACGUGGUGGAGAAGUAAAUCCCAAGAGCAAGUUGGUUGGUGAUUAACUACACACAUGCAAAUACAUGCAAGGGCACGAUAAGAGUUUGUGUCACAAAGGUUACUUGCAACACAAGAAAUACAGAAGUGACCACUUAACUAACACGACUUGGGAUCACGAUAAUGGAUCUUACACUCCGACGACGUUGGCUCCAUCAACGGUGACUAACGGUUUAUGGCAGUGAGAAUCGGUGGUCGGCGGUGAUGAGAUGGUGGCUCCGUCUUAGCUCGUUUCUUCCUCACGUCUUAUGCUUCUCAGAUCAUAAUAUCGUGUCAACCAUAAAACAAUGACGAUUGAUCUUUGACGAUCAGCCCAUAACUCAAACGUGACGUGGUGGCUCCGGGACAAUGAACAAAGGUGGUGAUAUCACAACGGUGGCUCUCGGUGCUGGAUUGUUCAUGGGGCACGGACGGUGGCUGGUGAUGAUGAGAUUGACAAGGGUAUGGGUUCGCUGAGCAUAACAUCUCCAUUGGCGGCGCACGUCUUUAGGUUUUAGGUAGGAGGAGAUAUUUACACAAUAUAUAGUUGCAGAAUAUUGGUCAAAAUCGAGAAAGGUUAGGGAAAUUAUAACUAAAAUUAAAUCCCACCGGUUUACCCAAAACCGGAUCGUUACAAUUCUCCCACACUUAUAAAGAAUUCGUCUUCGAAUUCAAAUCCUGAGCCCGUUAUCCAAUACCAUCCUGAGAAAGAUUUGGAUAGGUAAUCAUCAUCUGAAUCUCGAUUUUUCUCCUCCUGGAUCUUGUCUCUCUCUCUCAACAAACUUUGACGAACAUGGUCUUCAUUAUCUGAGCCGCUUUUUACUUUCCGAUUCAUAAUCUCCACUGGAUGGGUAGGUGUAGACAACUUUUUUUUUUUUUUUACUGAGAUCACUCGGUGGCUUGUGCAAAAUGAGCUUUGGCUCUCUCACGUCCUUCCUCAACUCUGACACAUGAAACACAUCAUGAAAGUCUGACAGCUCUGGUGAUAACUGCAAUCUAAAAGCUAUUGCUCAAAUCAGCUCCACAAAGGUACGGUCCCAUAUACGCAGCUUAGGCUUUCUUUUUUUUUUCUUUUUCUUUUAGCUUUUGGAUUUUAGAUCUUCUCUGAGAUAUCCUCAUUUUCAGGUAUAAUAAGUCUCCCACCUCAAUUUUAAAAAUCUUUCUGGCGCUUAUCUGCAGAAUUCUUUAAACAAAUUUUUUUUUCUUUUUUGAGCAUCUUCAUUAGUUCUACCGUCUCUUGAACCAUUAAUAGUUUUAACUCACGUCGCUCCCCCACUUUGGUCCAACAAAGUGGUGUACAUCAAGGCCUACCAUAAAGAAUCUCAUAUGGUGAAAUCUCAAUGCUCGAAUGAUAGCUGUCGAUGUAAGAAAACUCUGCUAUAUGUAGAUGCUCAAAAUAGUCCUCUUUGACUGACAAUCUGCGGUUGAUAAAUUGUACUCUUAUGGACCUUUGUCCUUCUGAAAGGCUCUCUAAAAUGCAGACGUAAACUUCCAAUCGCGAUAUGAUACAAUGAUGACAUAAACACCAAGCAACUUCACAAUCACGCUGAUGUAAAUCUGUACCAACUGAUCAACUCUGUGUGUCUUCUUAACUACUAGGAAAUUGGUUGACUUGGUAAAUAUAUCCAUGGCUACACAUAUGGCAUCCUUCCCACAUGUGGUGAUCGACAAUCCAGUAAACAACAUCCAUAAUCACCAUGCCUUAUUUCCACUCCAGAAAAAGCAAGCUCAACAAUAACCUGAAAGGUAUCAGAUCCUCUGACAUAACCAUCUGACAUGUCUGAUAACACGACACAAUGUAGCUAUAAUCUUUUUCAUACUGAGCCAAUGAUAAAAACACUUCAUAUUUUUGUAUCCGUUAAUGUUUCCCGGGUGGAUAGAAAAACGCGAGUGAUGUGUUUGCUGUAAGAUCCCUUUUCUUAACAUCUUAUCGUCCAACACACAAACUCGGUUUUGGUACAUGUACAUCCUGCUCAAAAUUGUAUGAUAUCCAAUACUCCCAAUCUCGAUCUGCUUAACCAAAGUCGCAUCGCUAUCUCGUGCUUGGCGUAUCCUCCAUGAAAAUAUGCCUGCUCCAAGGUCUCAAGGCCAUCUAUUUCUCUCUCAACAGUAAUGACACACAAUCUGAGAUUAGUAAUUGUCCCUGUAAAUUCAUGAACCUUUUUGGUUCCCAAUACGUCGCUCACGGGCCCACUUAAGGCAUCUUCCAACUGGUUGGGCUUACCAAAUAGUAUGCGGUAUCCAAACUGUAGUCUGUUACCAACUCAAUCCAACUUCACUGUCUAAGUAAAAGUCCUAAGAAGCGAAGAUAUAUUGCAAACUGAUGAUCCCAAAGAAUCUGGACUUCCUUCCCAUACAAUUAUGGUCUCCAAAACUAUAAUGCCACUAUCACUGCAGCCUCUCUGGUGUGAUGCAUAUGCAAUGACCUGAUCUCCCUACAUCAAUCCACAACCCAAGCCAGUAUUGACACAUCUUAGUAAACCUCAGUCUCAGUAUAACCAAAAUUGGUGUCUUCGUCAGCUGUGCUUUAAUUCAGUGAACUCCUCGAACAAAACUUUUCCAAUCCCACUUGACGUCAUUACAUGUAGACCGCUUCUCCAACAUUACUAUACUGGGAAAACCCUAGAUGAACUUCUAGUAGUACCCUGCUAACCCAAAAGCUGCGGAUCUAUGUAGUCGAUACAAAUUCUGAAACUCCAAUCUUCCCUCUUCACAAUCAAUAAUGAUGCUCCCCACGGUGAAGUACUCGGUCUGAUAAAAUCCAUGUCUGAUGAAUCUUCCAUAUGUUCUUUCAGCUCGGUCAUCUCUGCUGCCGCUAAUUGGUAUAGAACUCGUGAAACCGGUGAUGACCCUGACUCCAACUCGAUCGUACUCAUGUCUGAUGAAUCUUCCAUAUGUUCUUUCAGCUCGGUCAUCUCUGCUGCCGAUAAUUGGUAUAGAACUCGUGAAACCGGUGAUGACCCUGACUCCAACUCGAUCGUACGAACAGCUCCUCUUGCUGGUGACAACUCUUCCAAAGGCCUCAAAUAUAUCUCCAUACUAUGCAAUAACUCUAAGAUCCUGCAACUCAUGUUGUCCAUCAUCCUUAAACAUCGAACUGAUCACCAAAAUUCCAUUUACUCCUAUAUCCAAUAUUUCCUCAGCAUGUAGCAUGUAGACAAUACAAACUCUCAUCGGAUCCAGGAAUAAGAACUCUUGCCCUCAAGCAAAUCAACACUACGUGAUGUCAUGACAGCCAAUCCUUCUCAAGAAUGACAUCGCAUAAACUCAGCUCCAUCUCUGGCGAAUCUUCGAAUAACUCGACUCCUCCAUGCAUAAAUGGUACAACUCGUAUGUAAAUAGCUCCCAAUGUUCUAUGUCAGCUGUCCGAACUGACACACCUCUGAAACGAUCAACAAUGCCAAAAACUAGCAAACAAAACCAAGCUAACCCCAAUAUCAACACAACGCAAGCUGAUGCACCCCCAUCCAAAAGCGAUCCCCACGAGUUUACAAACUGAACAUAUCUCCAAAAUAGUCAACAUACUCGUACACAAAACAACACAUGCCAACCAAUGGCUCAUACGUCACACCAUGUAAUCUCCAGUAACAAAAACUCGUGGAACGAUUGCUUGAAGUAGGGUGGAAGCAGAACCGUCACAUAUCAACCAAAUCAUAAUUCUAAACCUAUUACACAACAAAUCACAAUCCUACCCAAUCACCCUAACAAAAAUCUAUCAAAAAACUUAUAAAAUCAUCAAAUCUACUUAAAAACCUAACAAAUAGGACCUAAGAGAGUGGGAUAAGGUCCUUACAUGAUUUGUAAAGGAAUGGAAAGGAUUCGCCGGAGAGAUCGUCGCGAGAGAAGGUGGAGAACGCCGGAAGGAGAGAGAGAUCGCCGGAGAGGAAGAAGAGAGAAAUGGGGAAGAAGAGAGAAAUGGGGAAGAAGAUGCGGUUCGAGUUUAUAAAACCUUGGGUCUGACGGAUAUUUUCCGUCGGAAUUCCCUCAGUAUUUUCAAUUUCAAUUUUCGCGAAAUAUUUGGCGGCUUGUUUGCCCGGUUAAAUGAAAAUAUUCCGAGGAAAUUCCGACGGCCACUUAAAUAUCCGUCGAAAUUUCCUCGGAAUAUUUUCAUUAAUUCGAGGAAAAAGAAUAUCCUGUGCAUGUAUUUCUAUUAAUUUGUAUUGUUCCUCGGAAUUCCUCGGAAUAUUCCGAGGAAAUACCGAGGAACUAGUGUUUGGGGUUUCAAAACAUCAAUUUUUUUGCCGUAUUUCAUUUCUUAUACAAUUGUAAUGCAUACCAUUGAAGAUUCUUUGUAUAGAUGAGCAUAAACCAUGAAAUAACAAAUUUCAAAACGAAUUGUAAGUAUUCCCUUUACCGUUCAUUAAAGUGUAUAAGUGUUUCUCUUAUGUUGUGGGGAUUUCGUUCAUACAAUCGGAAAAGUGUUUAUUAUAGGGUAAUGAACAAAUUUUUGACUUCAUAAUGAACGUAAGACACUUAAUAAGGGUUAUAUAGGUGUUAUUCAAACCGCAAAACGUUGUUUUCGGUUUAAAAACCCUAUUUCCUCGGAAUUUCCUCGGAAUAUUCCGAGGAAAUUCCGAGGAAACCCUUUUCUUCCUCAGAAUUCCGUCGAAAUAUUCCGAGGAAAUUCCGAGGAACUAGUGUUUGGGGUUUCAAAACGUCAAUUUUUUUUUAAACGGAUCGAUCGAUGGAUAUAUGUCCAAAAACGCAUCGAUCGAUCACUAAGAUGGACCAAAGCGUAACAAUGUGAUCGAUCGAUGAGAUUAUCCCAUCGAUCGAUCGAGGAUAUCAAGUGUUCCUCGGAAUAUUCCGAGGAAAUUCUGAGGAACUAGUGUUUGAGGUUUCAAAAUCUCGAAUGUUUUUUUAUAAACGGAUCGAUCGAUGUAUUUAUGUCCAAAAACGCAUCGAUCGAUCACUAAGAUGGACCAAAGCGUAACAAUGUGAUCGAUCGAUGAGAUUAUCCCAUCGAUCGAUCGAGGAUAUCAAGUGUUCCUCGGAAUUUCCUCGGAAUAUUCCGAGGAAAUUCCGAGGAACUAGUGUUUGGGGUUUCAAAAUCUCAAAUGUUUUUUUAUAAACGGAUCGAUCGAUGUAUUUAUGUCCAAAAACGCAUCGAUCGAUCACUAGUUCGUCGAAAUUUCCUCGGAAUAUUCCGACGGAUUGAUGUUUCCUCGGAAUUCCGUCGGUAUAUUCCGAGGAAAUUCCGAGGAUUUCAUUUUCCGUCGGAAUGUCCUUCAGAAUACCGAUGUUUUCUUGUAGUGCGUCUUAUGCUUCUCAGAUCAUAACAUCGUGUCAACCAUAAAACAAUGACGAUUGAUCUUUGACGAUCAGCCCAUAACUCAAACGUGACGUGGUGGCUCCGGGACAAUGAACAAAGGUGGUGAUAUCACAACGGUGGCUCUCGGUGCUGGAUUGUUCAUGGGGCACGGACGGUGGCUGGUGAUGAUGAGAUUGACAAGGGUAUGGGUUCGCUGAGCAUAACAUCUCCAUUGGCGGCGCACGUCUUUAGGUUUUAGGUAGGAGGAGAUAUUUACACAAUAUAUAGUUGCAGAAUAUUGGUCAAAAUCGAGAAAGGUUACGGAAAUUAUAACUAAAAUUAAAUCCCACCGGUUUACCCAAAACCGGAUCGUUACAGUUACCGUAUGUUGGAAGAGACUUGAACCAAACACACGGUGACUCAUGUUGUAGAAUCAAUAGCCCCAUGUGACCAGAUGUAAAAGCCUAGAUUAUGUUUUAUCAUGCAUGAGUGUUUCUCUAAUUAGGCAAGAAAGUCAAAUAAGAUCUAGUAUUAAUGUCUAAAAUAAACACGCUAUUAUUAUCUUGCCUGAAAGAGACUGCAAGCAGCCCACAGAGAUAAAUAUUGGAAAGGAGACCUAGGAUGAUGAUUGGUUCGACUGUGGCUUUAAAAAUUUAGUUGUAGAUGAUUAGCUGUAGAUAAAUCGGUUGUAACUGUAAAGUUGUUACUGUAAAUUUUUUCUGAAGAGACUUUUGAUGUAAUUAAAAUUGUUGUACCUGUAAGCUGUAGGCUGUAGAUAUUUUAAAAUAAAACAUAUGAAAUAUGUGUUGUAUAUAUAAAAUUAUUAUUUUAUAUCAAUUAAAAUAAUUUAUAUUAAUAUUUUUAAUAAAUUAUCAAAAUUUAUUGUAAUUUAAAAUGUGAUAUGCAAAUAAUAUUUAUAUUAUUUAAAUAUCUUAAUAAUUUAAAAACACUAAAAUUCAAAAUUAAAAUAUUUAUAAAAGUUUUUAUUAUGAUUAUAUAAUUUAUUUGAUAUUAUAGAUAUUUUUUUUUCAUUUACAGAUUUUACAGCCUAUAAAAAGAAGAAGUAGGAUUUUUGCCUAAAAUACAUAAGAAAAAGUUUUGCUUUAUUUUUUUUGUUGUAGCUUUAAAAAUAAAGGUAAAGCAUGAUUGGUAAAACUAAAUAAAAACUUGAUGUAGACUUUAAUUUUUAAAAGUAAAGUUACAACAUGAUUGGUAAAAUUUAGUGAUUUAAAAAUAAAUAAAGCUAAAGUAUAGAGAUAAAGUCCAACCAAUCACUCCAUAGUCAAAAUGCUUGUUAUCUAUUACAUUACAUGUAGAGAGAUAUAAAGAUAUGUAAAGUAUUUUUUUUUUUUGAAACUAAGGUUUUGAAUGUUUAUAGCGGUCCGAGUAGAACGCACUGCGGGACGAAAAUUUGUUUACCAUUCAGCCUAAAUAUUUUGCUUCUGUUUUUGUCAAAAUUAAAUAAAUAAGAAAAGUAAAAAUCAAGUGCGGGACAUAAUUGUUAGUGGACCGCUCCCUGAACCGAAAAGAAAGUAAUGGGGUGUGGUUACAGGCUCCGAACGGUUGAGCGGAUUUAGCGGUGCGGGCCAAACGGAUUGAAUAAUGCGGUACGGUUUGACUACAGUUUUGUAAACUGCAGAUUAUUAGCGGUUAAACAAAAAAAAAGCGGUACAAAAUAAAAUGUGAAUGGUAACAAAAAGCAAGUGGGGUAUAAAACCAAGAGUAGAAUGGUAAAAGUAGAAUAAGCUAUGCGGAUAAGAUUUUAAUUUAAAAUAAAUUUUAGUAAAAGAAAUAUAUAAUUAUUAUUAAUAAAUAUAUAAAAUUGAAAUUUUUCUUAUUACACCACGUAGAAAAAUAUACAAUCAAGAAUUUAAAUUUUAUCACAACAUAUUUGCAAUAUUAUCCCUUAUUCGAACCAUAUAUUCUCCAUCUACUAGAUUUGUAGUAUUUAAUGCUUCGGUGUCGUUUAAAUCGUUCUCCGAGUUUGUGUUAUUUAUUCUCGUGUCUAUCAUUACUUCAGCAAAAUAUGCAUCUGCAAAAAUAUAUUAUAUGUUUGUUAAUAUCAUUUAAAUUUAAUUAUAUACCAUAUCAAAUAGAAAAAUUAUUUUUUAGAUAAAUAAAAUUUAUUUAUAUGUUCGCACCAUUUAAUUAUAUAUGUAAUAGUUACUGAAUUUUUAAUCAUUCAAUAUAUAUUUAUUAUUUUAUAAUAUGUAAAAACAUAUAAAACAUAUCAUUUAUAUAUAUAUAUAUAUAUAUAUAUAUAAUAUUUGAGCUGCGCAAUACGCAGAUCUUAACCUAGUUUAUGUUAUAUAUAUUGCAUAUAUUAUAAGCGGUGCGAAUUUUAAAUAUAUUUUAAUUAAUAACAUUAAUUUACAUUAUAACUAAAACUGGUUUUACAUUUGAACUUAAAUAAAUAAGUAUUUACAUAUAUUAUUUUAUAUUAUGUAUUAUAUAUAUAUUUCUAAAAUAAUAAUUUUCUGUUUUAUAAAUGAGAGUUAUAUUAAAUAUAUUUUAAACAAAACUAUUUAUUUAUAUUUAAUAAGUUAAAGAAAAUGAUAUGGAAAAAAAUUGAAAUGAACAAAUUUUCUUAGACACGUACUUUCAAAUGGUGCAAUUUAUAUUAUGUAUAUUACAUAUAUUUUAUAUUUCCAAAAUAAAAAUUUCUUUUUUAUAAAUAAAAAUUAUAUUAAACAUAUUUUAAACAUAAUUUUUUUAUAUAUAAUAAAUUAAGAAAAUGAAAUGAAAAAAAUGAAAUGAAAAUAGGAAUCAUAACGCACAAACCUUAAAUGGUGUAAGCAAUUCAAUUGUUUCCAUUGUAUAACUUGAUUACCUUUAUAAAAAUGUUUUAAAAACACAUUUUAAACAUAAUUUUUUCUUUUAUUUUUGAAAUUAUAACCGCAUACAGCGUUUUGUUUUUAGUUUAUACUGAAUGGUUACAUUAUUAAUGAAACACAUGUGUUUAGCUUUGACCACCCUUAACAUUCAGAACCAUAGUAAUGUAGAUAAAUUUAUUUUUCAGGUUUUAGUUAUUAAAAUAUCGAAAGCAUAAAUACAUCUACUAAUAUUUUAUCUAUAUAAUAUACAUAAACUUACUUUUAACUAAAAUUUAAAUAAGUAAUACUUGGGUAACAAAACUAAUAAUGCUAAAAAUAAUUUUAUUAUCUGGAACAUUAAUCUGAUCACCGAAGAAUCGAACCAAAAAAGAGAUUCGGUUCAGGUUUGGAUUAUAUCAAUUAUUCUUGCAGAUCCUAUAACUCUAGAACUAAAAUCAAACCGAAAUCAAACUGAAACCAAAUCAAGGACCGAGUGGAUAUCAAUUUUUUUUUUAAUUUAUAUAUUUAUAAAUAUUAACAAUAUUUAGUUUUUAAAAUAAUCAAAUAAUUUAAAAUAAUAUUUAUAAAUUGAAUACCUAAAGCAAUUACCAGAAUACUUUUUUAAUCUAAAAACAUUUAAAAUUAUCUGAAUUAUCUAAAAAAAUUAAUCAAAAAUGCGAAAAAUCUAAUAUUUAAUCCGUAAAAACUCAAAUUUUCUGACUUUUAACAUGAAUUAACCAAAAAACUAUAACCGAAUCAAAACCAAAUGGUAUCCAAGAUUAUGUAGGAUAUUAGUCGGUUUCUAACUUUUUUAAUUAAACCAAACCGAGUCUCAAAUGAACUGAAUUUUCUAAAUAUCCCAACUAGAGCAAUUCUAAUUUUUUAAUAAAAUAUAAUAUUGACCAUAAAAUCUUAAUAGUAUAAUAUUACAUUUCAUAUUUCAGAUAAAUACAAUAUAUUUUAAAAUAUAUAUAUAUAAAGUUAUAUUAGUAUCACUUAUUUUGUUAGUUUCUAAAAUAUAAAUAUAUUAUAUGUUUCUGGCAGUUAUACUAUUCAUAUAGUCACCAUUCAUAUUUUGUUUUGAACCGUUUAUUUAGAUGAACCGCAGUUUUUCUCUUAUACAAAUCGCGGUUAAACCGCACCGCAGUAUUCAUUUCACUUUAUCUGUAUCGCUCAAUCAGCCGUUACCAUUCGGGAGACAUUUUGGUUUUCAAUAAUUUGUAACACGACACGUACGUUGGAAAAACAUUAUAAUAGAGAAAGUCAUGAUGAGUAGUUGGGGAUUUUUCUAAUGCUAUGGAUGAAUAUUAAACAUUUGUAUGGUUUGGUCUUGAGUCACUAUAACAUUAAUUGGGAAAUGCAACACGUUACCUUAUGAUCCAUUCUCGAAAUUUCAAUUUUUUAAAAAGAAAAGUUGAUCAUGAACCGGCCGCCUCAUAUCCAUAAUUACUUUUUAAAACAUUCAUAAUUAAAAACUUACGUACGCUAUAUAUCCUUGACUAUUCUUGCAACAACUUUUACGAAAGGGGAAAAUAUAAACACACAAAUCUACCAGUACUGUUUAUUGCACAUAUUCAUUUUUUUUUGCUAAGUAUUUAUUGCACAUAUUCAUACUCCACGGUCAUAUAUCUAACUAGGGAAAAUAUAAAUUUGAUGUGAUUUAAUUUAAUUUAACAUUCAUUGAUUGAUGUCUCCUGCAUGUUGUACUAUAAAUACCUCUACUUGCCUAAAGAUACCAUAAAACUCAAAGCAAAAAUGAAGUCUUGUCUACUUCUCUUUCUCAUCUUCUCAUUUCUUUUAUCAUUUUCCUUAGCCGAGCAAUGUGGUCGACAAGCGGGAGGAGCUCUCUGCCCCAACGGUCUAUGCUGCAGCGAGUUCGGAUGGUGCGGUGACACCGAAGCUUACUGUAAGCAGCCUGGCUGCCAAAGCCAGUGCGGUGGUACUCCUCCUGGCCCCACCGGUGAUCUUUCAGGCAUCAUUUCAAGAUCUCAGUUCGACGACAUGCUUAAACAUAGAAAUGAUAAUGCUUGUCCCGCUAGAGGUUUCUACACUUAUGAUGCCUUUAUCAAUGCCGCUAAGUCUUUCCCUGGCUUCGGCACCACCGGAGACACUGCCACAAGGAAGAAAGAAAUCGCUGCCUUCUUUGGUCAGACUUCCCACGAGACCACCGGUAAUAAUUGAUUAUUUUCGUUUUUAACAUAAUUAUUAUUGUUUUAUUUAGAUGAAAAACAAAAUCAAAAUAACAAUUAAAAAUAUAACAAAAUAAUUAUAAAACAAUGUAAUUUUUACUUUUAUAAUUACCAUUUUUUUUGCUUAAAAUUUUACGAAUAUAAGAAUUUUCCAAAAUGACUUAAUAUAGAAAUCUAUCAAAAUUGUACUUCCUCUGUUUCAUAAUAAGUGUCAUUCUAGAUUUUUUUUUUCUUGUUAUAAAAAAAGUGUCACUUUACAAUUCCAAAACAAAUUAUACUUAUUUUCAUCUUAAAAUUAAUUGCAAAUUGUAUUGGUUUUAUAAAUAAUUUUAUUUAUCUCAAAUACUAUUUAUCUGGAAAAUGUAAUUAAUAACAACUUAUAUAUAUUUGCACUACUUUUGUGAAAAGUGUCAAAAUGAAACUUAUUCAGAAACGGAGGGAAUAUAAUACAAAACGUAACACAUAAGUUUUCAACGUACAUUUUCCCAAAUUAAAAUUAAACACGUAAUGAAUACAAAAUAAGAAGUGUAAUAAAUUUAACGUAAUUAAUAGAUUAGACUUUUUUAUAAUUAACAAAAGUCUAAUCUGUUACGCUAUUAGACUUGUGACUUAAUAAACUAAUGAAAUGGACGAUUGCAUGUUGAAGGUGGGUGGGCCACAGCACCAGACGGACCAUAUUCAUGGGGAUACUGUUUCAAACAAGAGCAGAACCCUUCUUCAAACUACUGUUCACCGAGUGCCGAAUGGCCAUGCGCAUCUGGUAAAAGCUACUACGGAAGAGGACCAAUGCAGCUAUCAUGGAACUACAACUACGGACAGUGUGGAAGAGCCAUCGGAUCUGACUUACUCAACAACCCUGACCUUGUCUCCAACGAUCCAGUGAUCGCUUUCAAAGCCGCGAUUUGGUUUUGGAUGACACCUCAGUCUCCAAAACCGUCGUGCCACGCCGUGAUCGUCGGCCAGUGGCAGCCUUCGGAUGCUGACCGUGCCGCUGGGAGAGUACCGGGUUACGGUGUGAUUACGAAUAUUAUUAACGGUGGUUUAGAGUGUGGACGCGGCCAAGACGCUAGAGUCGCGGAUAGAAUUGGAUUUUACCAGAGGUACUGUAACAUUCUUGGAGUUAAUCCUGGAGGUAACCUUGAUUGUUACAACCAAAGGUCCUUUGCUUCUGUUAACUUCUUCCUUGACGCUGCUAUUUAAUAAGGAGUGUUAUGCAGCUUUGUAUCCAAAAGCAAUAAGGGAUUAAUAUCAAACUAAAUAAAACUCUUUGUCGUAUCUUAUUCUUAGCUCCACUCCUCAUUUUUUGAAGCAUGUACCAAAUAACCUAAAGCUAAUCUUUCUCUAAUGAGAUAAACCAAACUAACAAAUCUUGUUUUGAUCGUUCAACUAACUUAAAACUGAACUUUCUAAUUACAUUUUCGGAUUUUGUUUAUGAGAGUUGGAAUGGACAAAGCAAGAUAUAAUUCUAUUACAUUUACAAGUUUCAAAACAGUUCAAGCGAGUUUCGCAUAACAUGUCGCUAUCUCCAAGCAUCAUUUCAAGUGUAAGCCUCGUAGUAUAAAAAUUUUGGCUACAAUAACCGGUUUAGACCGAAGUAAACCAAUCUAAAACUCCAAUAGCCUCUAUUUCUUAAACGUUACAAGACGAAAGUCAAUUGACAUUGAACCAAGUGUGAACACUAUUAAAGAGAAAGCACUCUAUUAAACCAAAUGUUAGAUGUAAACCAAAAUUAAAACUAAACCGAAAGUAAACCAAAAACUUAUUGGGCACAUUUACUGCGGGGACACAGAGUCCAACGACCUGUAACCGCAGAUGAUUAAUAUCCGAAAAUAUCUAAAAAGAUCAGAGCACCGAACCAAAAUAUAAAGUGAAGAUGAUGAAAAGCUGUUUCUCAAUCUUCUUCUCCAUCUUCGUCUCCUCUAGUGAUUUAGGGUUCUGCAACGACGAAGACAUGGCUUUACUCGGCGGCGUUCGCGAUGUACCUGCUAAUCAGAACAGCGGCGAGGUCGAGAGCCUCGCUCGUUUCGCCGUCGAUGAGCAUAACAAGAAAGAGGUUCAUCUCUCUCUCUCUCUCUCUCGAUUAGUGAUCCAAAUCGCGAUUAGAGUAAAUUGUCAUAGUCUCGCUUAGUAUGUGAUCUGAUCAUUGAGUGACGAUUGUAGAAUUCGCUGCUGGAGUUUGCGAGGGUGGUGAAGGCGAAGGAACAAGUUGUGGCGGGAACGAUGCAUCAUCUGACGCUUGAGAUCGUCGAGGCUGGGAAGAAGAAGCUUUACGAAGCCAAAGUGUGGGUGAAGCCUUGGUUGAACUUCAAGGAGUUGCAGGAGUUCAAGCCUGCCUCUGAUGCUGCCCCUUCUUCCAUCACUCCCUCCGAUCUUGGCUGCAAGAAAGGUAUCAGUUUGAGAUAAUAAAGCUUCAGGGUGAUUUAUUAUAUUUUAUUUAUGAAAAUUGGGCUUUUGUGGGGUCACAGGUGAACAUGAAUCUGGUUGGAGGGAAGUUCCAGGGGAUGAUCCAGAAGUGCAGCACGUUGCUGAUCAUGCUGUCAAGACCAUUCAGCAGAGGUCUAACUCUUUGUUCCCUUAUGAGCUUCAGGAGGUUGUUCAUGCUAACGCGGAGGUACUAUAUGGCUUUGCUUUACUUUGAUCGUAUUCAUAGCUUUAAUAUUAUCCGCCAUUGGUUUCAGUAAAGAAACUUGUUAGUCUCUGAAUUCAACUUAGCAAAGCUUUAACCAACUAUGGUCAGGUUACUGGUGAGGCUGCAAAGUUCAACAUGCUUCUCAAGUUGAAGAGAGGAGGCAAGGAGGAAAAGUUCAAGGUGGAGGUUCACAAGAACCAUGAAGGUGUUCUUCAUCUCAACCACAUGGAGCAACACCAUGACUAAUACCCCUGCUAUGUUUAUAUGUAAUCUUUGAGUGUUGUUUACUUACUCUCUGUAAGAUAUUUUAGCUUUCGGUGCAGACUAUAAAUUCUUAAAUAACAUAUCCGGAGAAAUAAAUUAAGUCUUUCUAAAUAGCGUAAAAUCGUUGAUUCAUUUACAAUAAACCGAAACAGGGCGAAGCUUUCGAUAACAGAAGCAUUUUCUAGAUAAAACGCCAAGUGCUGCUACUCUAUUUAAUGUCCUACUGAUGCUGCUUUACAUCAGCCUUCUGCGUGAUAAUCUUCCUUGUCCUCGUCUAUUCCUUUACCUAAACUUGCAAACUGUGCUGGAUCUAUUUUGCAAACUUAGCAACAUCAUGUUACCUCUUAAAACCAGAAUAUCAAUAGUUUACAAUAUCUGAAACUAGAGAAUAUAAAUAUGCAUUCAAGUGAACCCUUUUCCUGCUCUUUAGGCAGUGACGAUGGUAACAUGCAGAGGAAAGUCAAAAGAUAAAAGGCUAACGAAAUCUCUAACGCUUACAGGUGCAAUGAGCUCACGGUUUGAGCUCCUCUUUCAAGGGUAAUCUAAUAUGUACGAUCGCAAAGUUCUUGCAAGAACAAUUCCAAAGACUUUGCUGCAAUAAUAACAACUUUUGGCUGUGGUCACCCAACAUGACAUUGCCGAAAACUCAUCACUGUCAAACAAUGCCGCUCCAGGAGCAGAAUCACCACCUUCUUUCCAAAACCUUGACCUCGGCUACUUCUCAGACUAUCCUCUCAAUACGGUCGAAAACCACACUGCCCCCUGAUGAUUGAGAAAUUGAAGGAGUAUUUCUACUUUAACAACACUUCCAAAGGAUUGGACCAGCUUGAGUAUUGUUAUUUUUCAAACAGAUCUCCAUCAGGGCAGUGUUGUUUUCGACCGUACUGAGAGGAUGGUCUGAGAAGUAGCCGAGGUCAAGGUUUUGGAAAGAAGGUGGUGAUUCUGCUCAUGGAGCGGCAUUGUUCGACAGUGAUGAGUUUUCGGCAGUGUCAUGUUGGGUGACCACAGCCAAAGGUUGGAUUGAUUGAGGGGCUUUGUUGGUUUCUUCAAGUGACACGAUGAAGUCAUUUUGAGGGGAAGCCAUGGCUUUGUGUUAUUAUGAGUUUGUAUUUUCGCUUCACUGUGUAAGGUUUUAUUUAAUUUUUUUGGGAUGGUUCUAACGAAGAUCUCGUGUUUGAUUAUAGGGAUUUGAUUUAGGAAUGAUUUGAUUCUAACGAAGACUAGUGUUUGAUUAUUGCAUAAUAUAGGGAUUUGAUUUAGGAAUGAUUUGCUUUUUAUUCACUUACUUGCUAACGUUGUGUUAUUGAGUAAGGAAUAAUAAUAUUGCGUGCAUUUAUUUUUUUGUGUUAUGAGUUUUUAUUUCAGAUAUCAGUGUGUUGGGUUUUGACUUUUGAGUAUUAUAAACUUGUCCUAACCAUUAGAUUAUUUCUUGAGGUGGUUGAAUCCACUAUUUUUAUUGUUGUAGUUGUACUAUUCUUAGAUGACUUAUAUGUGAAGAGUUUAAUGUUGGUCAUGUUCUAGGAAAGUUUUCUUGAUGUUCUUGUAGGAUUUGAGUAUUUUGUGGCGUUUUUUGAGUUUUAUAUUUUUGUAUUGGUGUCAUAGUUCUUUAAUCAUUGUGAUGUUUUGCGCUUGAGCUAUUUAUAACAGACAAAUAUUUGUAUUCGUUAUGGUCUUUAGACUAUUUGUUGGGUGGUUUUAAGAAAACUUUUUGGAGAAUAUUAAAAAUGCAUUCAAGCGAACCCUUUUCCUGCUCUUUAGGCAGUGACGAUGGUAACAUGCAGAGGAAAGUCAAAAGAUAAACGGCUAAAGAAAUCUAACGCUUACAGGUGCAAUGAGCUGACGGUCUUGGCUCCUCUUUCAAGGGUUAUCUCAUAUGUACGAUCGCAAAGGUCUUGCGAGAACAAUUCCAAAGACUUUGCUGCAAUAAUAAUAGAACAUGAAAAAGGUAUAACAACCAAACAAAUUGCUUUUACACUUAUGUCAACAAGGACAAGAAAGAAGAAGUUGACUUACAAACUAAUAAAGCUAACCAGAGAACUUGAGAGAAAGUAAAGAUCUUUUCUGAAGUUUUAUUAAUCUCAAACUUGAUUACAACUUUUGCUAGGGUUUUUCUAUUUAUAACAAUCGAAAGAGCAAUCUGGUGACCUCACAGCUGUCAUCAUGACAGCUCACUCAUCUUCACCUCGGAGAGUAUGAAAUCGGUUGCGCAGAGGGAGGUGAUUAGUUGUGAGGACCGUACUCGUAUCUUGUAUUCUUGUUCUGUUUUGACUCAGAGGAUUUGUGACCGUUGAGAGUUGUUUGAUCUUGGUAUGUGGAGAGCCCAACUCGUUGUUGCUUUCUGAUCCAUUGGGCUUAAUAUCCCCGCGCAAACUCGAAGUGGGUGGAAACUCAACUCCGAGUUUGAACCGUAAGUGAUAGAAGCUCUGUUGUGGUAUAGACUUGGUGAACACGUCUGCAAUCUGCUGAACCGCUGGGAUGUGUUUGACGAUCAGAGAUCCAUCUGCCACUUUCUCCCGAGCAAAGUGAUAGUGUGUAGCGAAAUGUUUGGACUUGCGAUGAAGCACUGGGUUCGCAGUCAACUGCACCGCGGAGAGAUUGUCGCAAUAGACCUCUGCAGCAGUUUGAUGCUUUACUCCAAUACUCUGUAACAUCCCACUAAUCCAAGAUAGUUCAGCCGCUGUAUCCGACAAGGUUAUGUAUUCCUCUUCAGUGUACGAACGAGCAACUGAGUCUUGUCUCUUAGCAGGCCAUGAGAUCAGAUUUGAUCCAAGGAAUGUGCAGAAUCCUCCAGUAGACCGUCUCGUAUCUUGACAUCCAGCCCAAUCAUUGUCACAGUAGGCUCUUAGCUGUGAGUCUGUAUCUGACGUUAAGAAAAGUCCCAUGUUGAUGGUCCCUUUGAGGUAUCUCAGAAUUCGUUUGAGAAAGUUGAAGUCUGACACACAGUUGGCUCAUGCAUCUUCUAACACACUAGGUUCACAGAGAACUGAAUGUCUGGUCUGGUCAAUGUGAGGUAUUGCAGUUUGCCUGCAAGGCUUUGGAAGUAAGUAGGGUUCGAGAAUACUUCGUCUUGAUGUGGAACUCUAUCAAGUUGUAGAGGAAGUGGCGUCGGCAUUGGAGCACAAUCUAGCAUGCUUGCAGCUUGCAACAGAUCAGAAGCAUACUUUUCUUGAUUGAGAAAGAGGCCAGUGGGUGUGAAAUGAGCUUGAAUCCCAAGAAAGUAGCUCAGAUGACCCAUAUCUUUCAUUCUAAACUGCUUCUUAAGUGCAUCAGGAAGUUGUUGAACCAAUGCUUUGUGGUUUCCUGUCAGUACCAUAUCAUCAACAUACAGGAGCAAAAAGAUCACAUCCUUCUCCUUCUGAUAGACGAACAAUGAAGGGUCUUUAACAUUGCAAGCAAAGCCAAACUCUAGCAGGUAAGAGCUGAAUUUAUCAAACCAGGCCCUUGGAGCCUGCUUGAGACCAUAGAUAGCUUUGCGAAGUAGGCAAACAUAUUCCGGAUGAGCUUUAUCUUCAAAACCCAGAGGCUGUUUCAUAUAUACCGUUUCAUUCAGAUCACCGUGCAGGAAGGCAUUCUUAACAUCUAGCUGCCUUAUAUCCCAUUUGUUGAUGACCGCAAAAUGUAGCAUUAUUCUUACUGUCGCAGUCCUAACAAUUGGACUGUAAGUUUCCAGAAAAUCGACGCCUUAUGUCUGCUCAUUUCCUCUUGCAACUAGUCUAGACCGAAGCUUUUGUAGUGUUCCAUCAGCAAUAAGUUUGACUUUGUGAACCCAUCCAGGUCCAAUUGAUUGAACUCCUGACGGCAAUGGAACAAGACUCCAUGUUUCUGUUUCAUUACAUGUUGAUAUCUCCUCUCCCAUUGAUCCAUUCCAGCCUGGGUGAUUCAAGGCUUCUACCACUGUUCUAGGAGGUGUAGGAAGGUUUUUACCGUGAAUAUGGCAUACCUUGGAUUAGGUUUCAUAACUCCUACUUUUCCUCUGGUUGUCAUCUUAUGGGAAUUGGCAGGAGGUAGAACAACUGGAGCUUGAUCUUCUUGAAAACCAUCUUGACUGCUCUCAUCAGAAGAAGAACUAUCAGUAGACUGAUGAGAAGAUGAACCUUGCGCAGAAGGAGUUGCAACAGGUGAGGUUUGGUCUAGUACAUGCUGAUGAUCAGAGACCGGUAACAGAAUCGUUUUCCCAAUCUCUUCUUGAGUGUUGGGGAUAGUUUCUUCGGUUGAAAGUUGUUCUGUUACUGGAUACUGUAGUCUCCAAGAAGAGCUUAAUGGAGUUGUUACAGUAGGAAGCAAGUGUCGAUACACAUCAGUAUAUGGAAGUCUUGACUCAUCAAACAAGACAUGUCUGUUGAUAUACACACGUCCAGUUGGAGGAUGGUAACAUCUGUAGCCCUUGUACCUUUCGUUAUAACCAACAAAAACACACAGCAAGGACUUAGGGUCGAACUUAUUCUUCACAUAUGGACUUAGAUACGGGUACCAGGCACAGCCAAAGACUCGCAAGGCUGUGUAGAUAGGACUGUUUCCAUUCAGCAACUCAAAAGGACUUAUCAUCUUGUCAUUGACUGAAGACGGAAGAAGGUUGCUGAGAAAGGAUGCAGUGUAAAAGGCUUCAACCUACAGUGUGUAAGGCAUGUGACUCUGGUAUAACAUUGACAAUCCAAUCUCCGUAAUGUGUCGAUGACGUCUCUCAGCAAUUCCAUUUUGUUCCGGAGUGUGUGGACGUGACACAAUUUGUUUGAUCUCGGUUGCAGCAAAAUGAUCAGUGAGAGACUUGUUUAUGAACUCACCACCCCCAUCUGACUGAAAAAUUGCUAUCUUCUGAUUAUAUUGAUUUUCUACUUGAAGUUGAAAGGCUUUGAAGAUUGCAAACACAUCAGACUUUGAUUUAAGGGGAUAAAACCAACAGAAUCUUGAGUAAUUGUCAAUGAACACAACAUAAAAACGAAAACCCUGAACUGAAACAACAGGUGCAGGGCCCCAAACGUCACAAUGUAUUCUCUCAAGAACUCUACUUGAUCUGAAAACUGAACUAGAAAAGGGAAGUUUGCUUGUCUUGCCAACUUGACACGCUUCACACAGAAACUGAGACAGCUUAUUGAAAGAAAUGACCUUUAUUGUUGAUAGAUGCUUCAGAACUUGAUCAUUUGGAUGUCCUAGUCUCAUGUGCCACACUCUAUCACUGGCGAUAUGUUGUCUUGACGAGUAGAAAGCCUGAAACUGAGAGUCAUUGAACCGAUAUAAGCCCUUAUUUUUGCUUCCCUGACUGAGCACCUUGUUGGUUUGCUUGUCCUUAAUACACACAGUAGUAGCAUCAAAGGUGAACUCACAUGGAUAAUCAUCAGUGAGUUUAGACACAGACAACAAUGACUUGGUAAUUUUCGGACAGAUUAACACAUCAAGGAGUGGAAUUUUACCUGAUCCAGUAGGAAUGGAUGCAGAACCAACAUGAGUGAUAGGAAGGAAGUCACCAUUGCCGACCAUUACUUGACCAUCUCCAUCAUAUUCUUGAGCAUUGUCUAAGAGGUGAACUGAACUGGUAAUAUGGUGAGAAGCCCCACUGUCUGGAUACCAUUCAGCUCCUGGUGCCCUGUUGUGUUGUGAUGUGGUGAGGAAGUUGGCUUGUGGAGAGGGACUGUUGAUGGCAAAGUGUUCAUCGAACCUUCUGUAGCACUUGUACGCAGGAUGACCAUAUUUGCCACAAAUCUGACACGUUGGACGUUGAUCAGACAAGCCAGAAGACCUGCUUGCUGGAUGACCAAACUGUUGUGGGAAUCCUCUUCCUUGCGUAGUGUAUGAGCCACGACCUCUAUAACCUCCACGGUUCUGUCCUCUACCGCGUCCAGAGUAACCUCCAUGAUUUGUAUAGUAUGCUUCAUGAGAUGAGACGUCAGGAACUUGUUUGUAUGUCUCGAGAACUUGUUCGUAUGUCUUGAGCUUGUCCUCAAAGCCGGUGAGUUUGUGAACAACAUCUUCAAAGCAAGGACCUGGAUACACAUCCAUUGAGUGCUCUAUCACGGUAGACUGCUUCAUAUUCUUUCCCUAGACCAUUGAGAACUCCAUAGAUCUUCUCAUGCUCUGUGAUAGGGGCUCCUAUGGAGUCAAGCUGGUCACAAAGAUACUUUAUUUCAGAUAGAUACACUCCCAUGGUUUUGUUUCCUUUUACCGUUGUCUGAACACGCCGCUGUAGGUCGAGCUUUCUUGUUGCAGACACACGGUUAUACUUCUUUGCUAACGCCAACCAGACAUCUUGAGAGGUGUGGAGACCAUAAACUGACUUGAGCGCAUCUUCAGAUAAUGUUCCGUACAACCAAGCGAGAAUGAGUUGAUCCUUCUGGAUCCAUUUGUUGAACUCUGGGUUCACAGCUUGAGUUUCUUCUUCACCGUUGAGGACUGUGAGCGUCGGAGCAGGACGAGGCAAAGCACCAGUGACAUACCCCAGAAGCGUCUGAUUGGAGAGAAACUGCUCAAACUGAAGUUUCCAGAUGAGAUAGUUCCCUUCUUUGAGCUUCAAGGUUACUGCUUGAGUGAUUGUGAGAGCUGAAACAGCGAGCGGAUCUUGAUUGCCGUCCAUCGUCUGAGCUCUGAUACCAUAAAGGUAAGCAGAGAACUUGAGAGAAAGUAAAGAUCUUUUUUGAAGUUUUAUUAAUCUCAAACUUGAUUACAACUCUUGCUAGGGUUUUUUUAUUUAUAACAAUCGAAAGAGCAAUAUGAUGACCUCACAGCUGUCAUGACAGCUCACUCAUCUUCACUUUGGAGAGCAUCAAAUCGGUUGCGCUGAGGGAGGUGAUUAGCUGUGAGGACCGUACUCGUAUCUUGUCUUCUUGUUCUGUUUUGACUCAGAGGAUUUGUGACCGUUGAGAGUUGUUUGAUCUUGGUAUGUGGAGAGCCCAACUCGUUGUUGCUUUCUGACCCAUUGGGCUUAAUAACUAAGACAGGCACUGCCAAAGCUAUCUUGCCAACAUCCUCGUCAUAAUCUUUUUAAUACGAGCCUGAUAAGUGAAAAAAUAAUUCGUACAUGAUAGUCCAACUUCAAUGAUUCAGUAUAACCUAAUGCAAUGAACCGUCUUCAAUUGAUUUCUACGUCAUAUUCUACUACCGAUUCACCCUAAAUAAGAUGAAUCCGGUGACAGCGGUUUUCCUCCUGACACUCCCCGAUGGAAAUAAAAUUAAUUUUAUAUUAUGUAUAACAAAAAAGUUGGGUCAAAGGAAAAAAUGCAUAUAGUCAAAAAUCUAAAAUCUAUAGUAUGUUAGUUUUUUUUUUUGGAAAAGUUGCAUAGAAAACCCUACAAACACUUUAAACCCUCAAACUUUUUUGGCUAGCAUUUUUAACUUUCAAAGUGAUAAUUGUAUCAUAGAAAACCUUCAACCUAAAAACUGACCUGUUGAACAAAUAAAAACGAUGAAGUAUCAAUUUUUUUAAAAAAAAAUAACUAUUUAAUUAAUAAAAUAAAUAAAAAUUCAAAAAAUUAAAAACUAAAUUUCGAAAACUAAAUAAAAAUUCAGUAAAUUAAAUAAAAAUUCGGAAAAUAAAUAAAAAUUCAUAAAAUUAAAUUAAAGUACAUAAAAUUUAAAAACAAAUUAAUUAAAAAUUCUGAAAAUUCAUAAAAAUUAGAAAUAUCAAAAUAUCAAAAUAUAAUUGAAACAAAAUUAAAAAAAAAAUUCUAAAAAAAUUACAAGAUUAUUUUUUAAAAAAACUGACAUAUCAUCAUUGACAAUAAAAGUUUUAAACGUAUCACUAUUGACGAUGAUGGUGUCUCAUAUAACUAGGCCUGGAACUUUUAUCCGAGAUCCGGAUUCGAUCCGUGAUCCGAUCCGGAUCCGAUCCGAAAAUCCGGAUAUCCGGAGAGGCCGAAUCCGGAUCCGGAUAGUAAAAUGUUGGAUCCGUCAAAGCCGAAUCCGGAUCCGGAUAUCUUGAUUUUUUAGUCCGGAUAUCCGGAUCCGUAAAUUUUAUUAAUAACUAUUUCAAAAAUAGUAAUAUCUAUAUAUAAAAACUAAUUUUAUUUAAUAUAUUUUCACUUUUAUAAUAGUAUAUAUAAAUUUUAUGUAAAUUUUGUAAUAUUAUACAUAGAAAUAAUUAAAAACAUUAUAUAUAUUUUUAUUUUUAAAUUAUUGUUAAUAUUUUAUAUAUAUUAAUAUUAUUUUUUAUUUAUUUUAAGGAUCCAAAUCCGGAUCCGGAUAUCCGCCGGAUAUUAUAAUUUUUAGAAGGAUAUCCGACACCCAGAUAUCCGCGAACCCCGGAUCCGGAUAAGGAUAGUAAAAUUAUGGAUCCGCCGGAUAAGGAUCCGGAUCCGGAUAUCUUAAAAUUGCCCGGAUAUCCGAUCCGUCCCAGGCCUACAUAUAACCAUUAACAAUGACGGUUUUUGACAUAUUUUCAAUGAUAAUUUUUGACAUCUUCGUUGAAAAUGGUGGUAGACAUGUCAAUAACGAGAUAUCUUAAAAAUAAUAUUCUUGUAAUUUUUUUAAUAAAAAGAUUUUUGAAUUUUUGUGAAAUUUAUGAAUUUUUAAUAUUUUUUAAUUUUAUGUCUUUUAAUAUAAUUUUAUUUAGUUAUUUGAAUUUUUAUUUAGUUUCAUGAUUUUUUAUUUAAUUUCUGAAUUUUAUUUAUUUUUUAUUUAUUUUACUGAUUAAAUAAUCAUUUUUGGGAAGAAAACUGACGGCUCAUCGUUUUUACCUAUACAACAAGUCAACUUUUUACUUGAUGAACAUGUAAGUUAAGUUGAAGAUUUUUUAUGAUACGAAUAUCAAUUUGAAAGUUAAAAGGUGCUAGCCAAAAAAGUUGAAGAUUUAAUGUGUAUUACUGACUAGUAACACUUAAGUUUUUUUUGUUGCAAAAAGUAAUGUUAGUUAUAAAUAACUUUAUAUGGUGGUUCACAAGUAUUCGUUAGAUUCACUAAAAUCAGAUUGUCCGAAACGAUCUGACCAUGAUAUGGACCUCGUGGGGGGAGUUAGUUUCCUUUUUCUUUCGCUUGAACAAAAAAUUAGUUUCCAUUUUUUUCUAAAGUUAGUUUCCUUUUCUUGUUAAUGGCGGUCAAAAAAAAAAAGGGAAUAUCAUACGACAAUAAAUAUAAACUAGAUUUUGACCCGCGCUUUCAAAGCGCGGAUUUAUUUUUGUUUUUUUUUUCAAUUGACAAAUAUUUAGUAAAUGUCACAUUUUCAUAUAUUUGUGUUUUACUUUAUAAAAGACUUAAAAAUUUUAUCUUUAUUUAUCGUAUUUCAUUUUAAAUGACUAUUUAUGUUAAAAAAAACUAAACUUUAUUUUUUUUAUGAAUUAAGUUGGUAUAACUCUGAUAAAUUAAUUUUAUUAUGGGGUUAAUAUUUUAAUUAAAAAAUUAUAUACUUUUAAUAAAGAUUUAUACUUUUCAAUAAAAAAA